UACGAAGGGGGCUAGCGUUGCUCGGAAUCACUGGGCGUAAAGCGCACGUAGGCGGAUCUUUAAGUCAGGGGUGAAAUCCUGGAGCUCAACUCCAGAACUGCCUUUGAUACUGGGGAUCUCGAGUCCGGGAGAGGUGAGUGGAACUGCGAGUGUAGAGGUGAAAUUCGUAGAUAUUCGCAAGAACACCAGUGGCGAAGGCGGCUCACUGGCCCGGUACUGACGCUGAGGUACGAAAGCGUGGGGAGCAAACAGG
This 253-nucleotide ribosomal RNA is filed under the name uncultured bacterium. RNAcentral describes it as "partial 16S ribosomal RNA". It matches the Rfam family "Bacterial small subunit ribosomal RNA", at positions 524 to 776 of the family's 1533-position model. The record is from RNAcentral.